RNAcentral lists this ribosomal RNA (490 nucleotides) under uncultured bacterium. Its description in RNAcentral is "partial 16S ribosomal RNA". It matches the Rfam family "Bacterial small subunit ribosomal RNA", at positions 29 to 505 of the family's 1533-position model. The record is from RNAcentral.
AGUGAACGCUGGCGGUAGGCCUAACACAUGCAAGUCGAACGGCAGCACAGUAAGAGCUUGCUCUUACGGGUGGCGAGUGGCGGACGGGUGAGGAAUACAUCGGAAUCUACUUUUUCGUGGGGGAUAACGUAGGGAAACUUACGCUAAUACCGCAUACGACCUACGGGUGAAAGCAGGGGAUCUUCGGACCUUGCGCGAUUGAAUGAGCCGAUGUCGGAUUAGCUAGUUGGCGGGGUAAAGGCCCACCAAGGCGGCGAUCCGUAGCUGGUCUGAGAGGAUGAUCAGCCACACUGGAACUGAGACACGGUCCAGACUCCUACGGGAGGCAGCAGUGGGGAAUAUUGGACAAUGGGCGCAAGCCUGAUCCAGCCAUACCGCGUGGGUGAAGAAGGCCUUCGGGUUGUAAAGCCCUUUUGUUGGGAAAGAAAAGCAGCAGGUUAAUACCCCGCUGUUCUGACGGUACCCAAAGAAUAAGCACCGGCUAACUUCG